CCGCUCUUUGUAGCCAUCUCAGGGGAAGCAACAGAUCGUCACUUCGCUAGUCUCCCCCAAAAGCACGCUCUCUCUAACGCCCCUCGCUCUGCCUCGGGCCCCCUUAGAGGACAGAAAGGCGCCUGCCUCCUCCCCGUGCCUGGCCGCCCGGCCGGUUGCACCCAGGCGCCCUGGAGUAGAGAGAAUUAGAAAUUCCCAGUGUUAGGCCUUCAAAAAACACCGAUUCGAAUAUCGCUUUUGGUAGAAAUUGAGGUGCGUCAACACAACGAGCCCACGACGUAGAGGUCACAGAAGUAUUGGCAAAAUCACUCGAAGCAGAUAAAGCGGGGAUUUCCGAUGGCGAUUUGCACACAAACAAGGUGACUGCAGGAGGCUAAAAUGCUGCCUAAUUCCAUGGGUUCCCAUCGCAGGAGAAGAAAAAAAAAAGUCCAAGUGCUUUUGAUCACGGGACACCCGGCCGUUCCUCCCCAGUACACCCCGGGUCACAGUACAGUAAUGACCGUGGGUUGUGCGCUGUAGGACUUGACCUUUCCUACGUAGAAGAGGGCGCUUUCUUUCACGCUACGGGGAGGGAAGAGAGGGGGGAGCGGCGGGAGGAAGGGAGAUGCUCUCUUUGGGGAUGUUUAAUCACAAUUCAGAUCUAGGAACGGGCAAAUGUCCUGCCUUUCAGCACGCCAUGUUGAAGCUAUUCACUGGAGCAAAUUUUUUUUUUUUUUUUUUUU
This is a long non-coding RNA of Dromaius novaehollandiae (emu), 722 nucleotides long. RefSeq lists it as uncharacterized. The record is from RefSeq and is a predicted model, not a curated record. Lineage: Eukaryota; Metazoa; Chordata; Aves; Casuariiformes; Dromaiidae. The transcript is spliced from 3 exons.